UACAGAGGGUGCAAGCGUUAAUCGGAAUUACUGGGCGUAAAGGGUGCGUAGGUGGUUUAUUAAGUUAAGUGUGAAAUCCCCGGGCUUAACCUGGGAAUGGCGCUUAAUACUGAUAGGCUGGAGUACUGUAGAGGAAGGUGGAAUUUCCGGUGUAGCGGUGAAAUGCGUAGAUAUCGGAAGGAACAUCAGUGGCGAAGGCGACUUUCUGGACAGAUACUGACACUGAGGCACGAAAGCAUGGGGAGCAAACAGG
RNAcentral lists this ribosomal RNA (253 nucleotides) under uncultured bacterium. Its description in RNAcentral is "partial 16S ribosomal RNA". It matches the Rfam family "Bacterial small subunit ribosomal RNA", at positions 524 to 776 of the family's 1533-position model. The record is from RNAcentral.